GAUGAACGCUGGCGGCGUGCCUAAUACAUGCAAGUCGAGCGAACAGACGAGGAGCUUGCUCCUCUGACGUUAGCGGCGGACGGGUGAGUAACACGUGGAUAACCUACCUAUAAGACUGGGAUAACUUCGGGAAACCGGAGCUAAUACCGGAUAAUAUAUUGAACCGCAUGGUGCAAUAGUGAAAGACGGUUUUGCUGUCACUUAUAGAUGGAUCCGCGCCGCAUUAGCUAGUUGGUAAGGUAACGGCUUACCAAGGCAACGAAGCGUAGCAGACAUGAGAGGGUGAUCGGCCGCACUGGAACGGAGACACGGUCCAUACUCCUACGGGAGGCAGCCGUAGGGAAUCUUCCGCAAUGGGCGGAAGCCUGACGGAGCAACGCCGCGUGAGUGAGGAGGGUCUUCGGAUCGUAAAACUCUGUUAUUAGGGAAGAACAAAUGUGUAAGUAACUAUGCACGUCUUGACGGUACCUAAUCAGAAAGCCACGGCUAACUACGUG
This 497-nucleotide ribosomal RNA is filed under the name uncultured bacterium. Its description in RNAcentral is "partial 16S ribosomal RNA". It matches the Rfam family "Bacterial small subunit ribosomal RNA", at positions 28 to 507 of the family's 1533-position model. The record is from RNAcentral.